Molecule: ribosomal RNA, 1020 nt
Filed under: Nitrosopumilales archaeon
Lineage: Archaea; Thermoproteati; Nitrososphaerota; Nitrososphaeria; Nitrosopumilales
Description: 16S ribosomal RNA
Source: RNAcentral
ACAGGACACCUCACGGCACGAGCUGGCGACGGCCAUGCACCACUUCUCAGCUUGUCUGGUAAAGUCUUCAGCUUGACCUUCAUUCUGCUGUCUCUCCGGGUAAGAUUUCUGGCGUUGACUCCAAUUGAACCGCAGGCUUCACCCCUUGUGGUGCUCCCCCGCCAAUUCCUUUAAGUUUCAUACUUGCGUACGUACUUCCCAGGCGGCAAACUUAACGGCUUCCCUGCGGCACUGCACUGGCCACAAGCCAAUGCAUCACUGAGUUUGCAUAGUUUACAGCUGGGACUACCCGGGUAUCUAAUCCGGUUUGCUCCCCCAGCUUUCAUCCCUCACCGUCGAACGUGUUCUGGUAGACCGCCUUCGCCACAGGUGGUCAUCCAUAGAUCAAAGGAUUUUACCCCUUCCUACGGAGUACCGUCUACCUCUCCCACUCCCUAGCUUUGCAGUAUUCCCGGCAGCCUAUAUGUUGAGCAUAUAGAUUUAACCGAAAACUUACAAAGCCGGCUACGGAUGCUUUAGGCCCAAUAAUCAUCCUGACCACUUGAGGUGCUGGUUUUACCGCGGCGGCUGACACCAGAACUUGCCCACCCCUUAUUCAAUAGUGGUUUUAUGACUAACAAAAGAUUCCUUUAGCAGGAAUCACUCGGAUUAACCUUGUCGUGCUUUCGCACAUUGCAAAGUUUUCUCGCCUGCUGCGCCCCAUAGGGCCUGGGUCCGUGUCUCAGUACCCAUCUCCGGGCUACUCCUCUCAGAGCCCGUACCUGUAAUAGUCUUGGUGGGCCAUUACCUCACCAACAAACUGAUAGGCCGCAGUCCCAUCCUACGGCAAUAAAUUAUUUGAAACAUAAACCAUUCCAGGCAUAAUGUUCUAUCUGGUAUUAUUCUCAGUUUCCCGAGGUUAUUCCCGUCCAUAGGGUAGGUUGACUACGCGUUACUGAGCCGUCUGCCUUGUAUUGCUACAAUGACUCGCAUGGCUUAGUAUCAAUCCGAUAGCAGUCAGGUCCGGCAGGAUCAACCGGA